UCCCGCUCCCUUUCCUCGCUCGCGACACCGGCGACACCCCUCGCCCCCGCCCCACGCCGAUGAUGACCGUGCCCCCACUCCACACCGGCGAUGCCCAUGCUUCCCCCUCUCCCUUCCCUAUCGCCCACGCCAUCGCGGCCGCCUUUCUUCGCCCCACAACACGCUACCGCCUCGUUCCCCUCCGUCAAGUGUCUAUUUUGCGUCGAUCUGUGGCGAGGCGGAAAAACGGGGUCGUGCUGGAGCAGCGCCAGCGUACCGGAUCAGCGGCGAGCCAGACCUGGGCCUCGACGGGGAGGUUGGCUUCUCCCUUCUGCUUUCCUAUGGCGAGGUUCUUGAGGCUCUAAUGUGCGACUGUCGACCGGUCGCCUGCAGGGUGGCGCCGGCGCCGACGGCAAUGUGCGUCCCAGCGUGGUGCCCGUGCCUUCUUCGCUUCGCUCGCCGUGGCCACUCAAGGAAUUUGGUGAACUUAUUUUGGCUUUCGUCUCUGGUUGAUGUGAUUCUGAAAUUGGCUGGGCUGGUUGAUGUGGGCUAGAUGUGAUCUAUGGAUUCCAGGGGAUGAUUCAUGUGCUGAGUUUUCUCUGAUUGUGAUUGUUCAUGUCUCCAUGAUGAUUCUUGUGGAUCAGAAACUUGAGUUUAUUCUGCCUUGAAGAAUUCUCCAAAGGUUCAGAAAUGCGUACAAAUUCUGCAGGAUAAGCAAGAUCUUGUUGAAACUCAAAACGAUCUUGUUAAACUUCAGAUUGCAUAUGAAGAUCCUGCACAAAAGAGUGAAGGUACUGCCCCAUCAGUUUUUAUGGCCAGGGAAAAUUAUGGCAGCUUCCCAGGUGCAAAACACGAGCUUGCCCUUGUCCCGCUGCACCAAGUAAAUGCUACGCAGUCUCAAGUGCUAUCAAGAGAAGAGUGGCAAAUUUUAAUUCAAACAGAGCAGAGAAGAGCAGAGUGGCAAAACAAACCAUCCAGCAAUCCGUCCAUCCAUCCAACUAUCUAUCUAUCUGGAGUAGGAGUACAUUUGAAGGGAACACCAACAGAGUACAUUUGAGAAGAUGAAGAAUAUGAAGAAGAAGAAGAAGAAGAAGAAGAAGAUGAGAAUAUGAAGAAGAAGAAGAAGAAGAAGACAAAGAAUAUGAAAAAGAAGAAGAAGAUAUUGUAAUGACCUUGUACAUCUUGUACAUCCUUGUAUUGACCUUGUACAUCUUGUAAUGACUACUCUAAUAUCAAUGAAGAUAUUAUUCAAAUAA
Hordeum vulgare subsp. vulgare (domesticated barley) is the source of this 1235-nucleotide long non-coding RNA. RefSeq lists it as uncharacterized. The record is from RefSeq and is a predicted model, not a curated record. Lineage: Eukaryota; Viridiplantae; Streptophyta; Magnoliopsida; Poales; Poaceae. The transcript is spliced from 4 exons.